RNAcentral lists this ribosomal RNA (253 nucleotides) under uncultured bacterium. Its description in RNAcentral is "partial 16S ribosomal RNA". It matches the Rfam family "Bacterial small subunit ribosomal RNA", at positions 524 to 776 of the family's 1533-position model. The record is from RNAcentral.
GACAGAGGGUGCAAACGUUGUCCGGAAUCACUGGGCGUAAAGGGUGCGUAGGCGGGUCUCUAAGUCAGGGGUGAAAUCCUGGAGCUCAACUCCAGAACUGCCUUUGAUACUGAGGAUCUUGAGUUCGGGAGAGGUGAGUGGAACUGCGAGUGUAGAGGUGAAAUUCGUAGAUAUUCGCAAGAACACCAGUGGCGAAGGCGGCUCACUGGCCCGAUACUGACGCUGAGGCACGAAAGCGUGGGGAGCAAACAGG